GGUGGCGGGCCCACCGAAAUCGCCAUACAGGUGGAGGUUUCAAACCGCCUUAAGGUGCUGUGGUCAAAAGCUAUGGUAUUGAGCGUUAAGGAAAAGGCAGCGAUAGCUGUCAGGU
RNAcentral lists this non-coding RNA (115 nucleotides) under Peptoclostridium litorale DSM 5388. The record is from RNAcentral. Lineage: Bacteria; Bacillati; Bacillota; Clostridia; Peptostreptococcales; Peptoclostridiaceae.